UAGGGAAUCUUCCGCAAUGGACGAAAGUCUGACGGAGCAACGCCGCGUGAGUGAAGAAGGAUUUCGGUUCGUAAAACUCUGUGGUUAGGGAAGAAAAAAUGUAUAGUAACUAUAUACAAAAGAGACGGUACCUAACCAGAAAGCCACGGCUAACUACGUGCCAGCAGCCGCGGUAAUACGUAGGUGGCAAGCGUUGUCCGGAAUUAUUGGGCGUAAAGCGCGCGCAGGUGGUUUAGAAAGUCUGAUGUGAAAGCCCACGGCUCAACCGUGGAGGGUCAUUGGAAACUAAUAAACUUGAGUGCAGGAGAGAAAAGUGGAAUUCCUAGUGUAGCGGUGAAAUGCGUAGAGAUUAGGAGGAACACCGGUGGCGAAAGCGGCUUUUUGGACCAUUACUGACGCUGAGGUGCGAAAGCGUGGGGAGCAAACAGG
This 429-nucleotide ribosomal RNA is filed under the name Verrucomicrobiota bacterium. RNAcentral describes it as "Verrucomicrobia bacterium partial 16S ribosomal RNA". It matches the Rfam family "Bacterial small subunit ribosomal RNA", at positions 355 to 776 of the family's 1533-position model. Lineage: Bacteria; Pseudomonadati; Verrucomicrobiota. The record is from RNAcentral.